GGGAAUUGUCAGUUGUGGCUAAAACUCAACAACCGUUCCACAUUCAGCAUCACAUUGCCCAGGCCGGUCCAAGCAGAUUCAAAAUAGAUUUCACAGGGUUUAGGAGCAAAGACCUGAUGGAUGAUUUCAGCGGAGCGGUGACACCAGAAGUUGCAGGUACGAGCUCCGUGCCAUCAGCUAACACAACACCUGCAUGAACAGAUGGGAAAAAUGAACUCCAAGGCUCAGGGCUUGACAUAAUAUGCACUCCUGUGCACAGGGCGAUAGAGCCGAAUAAGGUGGCGGGAACAACACCUGUUAGCCUGAACAGGGAGAUCGCGACACAAGAGUUGGACGUACGUGAGGAGAUGGAGGAGGCAGCAAUCAAC
This is a non-coding RNA of Triticum urartu, 368 nucleotides long. Lineage: Eukaryota; Viridiplantae; Streptophyta; Magnoliopsida; Poales; Poaceae. The record is from RefSeq and is a predicted model, not a curated record.